Molecule: non-coding RNA, 1298 nt
Organism: Cinara cedri
Lineage: Eukaryota; Metazoa; Arthropoda; Insecta; Hemiptera; Aphididae
Source: the annotation of a GenBank genome assembly
GUAGUUUUUAAUUUUCGUGUACCCGUUGAUAAGAUAUUUUACUUUUAAGUCUGUCGUGAAUAUGGAGUAUUAUUCAAACGCCGCGUAGUGUUUCUAAAUAGACAUUUUCCUGUCAUAAACUAAUUUUUUUUUUUUUUACUUAAGAUAAAAAUACUGAAUAUGAAAUCAUUAUUCUUCAGUAUAACUAUAGCGUAUUUUUCUUAUUUUAAGAGUUCAUAACUAUAAGCAAACCUAUAUAGGGUAUUUUAAAAUAACUUAUCUCAUGUUACAUUAUUACAAACUUUGGUACGGUAGUGUUUAAAAAGAAAAUAUACACCGUUUUAUAGGCAUUAUCAUAAUUUCAUUAAAUGUAACUUACUUUUGUAACUGCAAGUAUUUUAUUCAUCUAGUAAUGGUAUAACACAAACAAAUACAAUUUUUUAAUUUAAUUUUUAACGUUUAAUAAAUAAUGUAUCAAGAGGUAAGCUAAUUUAAAAAAACCCAAUAAAAAUCUGCUUAUAGACACUAAAAGUGAGAAAAAUGUCUUCUAGUUUUACUGAAGUAUUACGAUUUCAUAUUCAACCAUUCGUGUAAGUAAAAACAAAAAAUAGGUUCUGGAAAAUGUGUGUUUAGUAAACUAUAUGACGUUUGAAUAGUGUUCUACAUUCCUACCCACAAAACGGCAAACUUAAAAGUAAAAUAUUUUGUCAACGAGUACACCAAAAUUAAUUUCAACUAAAACCUCAUCUACUUAUGGGAUUUUUAACAUAGCCUACUAUUUUAAAAUCAAAAUAUCGUAUUGAUUUUAUCGCUGAACAUAAGAGUAACAAAAAUUAAAGAAAAUUUCACGGUUUAUAGCUGAUUGUUCUAGAUUCUGAGCGGAUCAAGGAACGUAUUUUACAUUUUGAUCGAGAGUGAUAUAAGGUUCACUAGAGUGUACGUAGAUGGUGAGGGGAACAGAUUCAAAUAUACUGUUAGGUCCACGAUGGGCAAUCCCAAAUAAAUAGGAGGAAAGGUUAGAGAAAAAAUAUUUUAUCUACUAUACGUUUGCUAUACAUAUUAUUUGAUGGUUUAUAUUUUUGAUUAUUGUCUCAUUCAGAAUUACAAUUUUCAAAAUUUUACUAAAUUAUCUAUCAUUUAAAACGUACAUUUAACUAUAACAAAACUAUUGUAUUGUAACUUUUGUUCGAAAAUUUAAGUUUAGAUUCAUUUUACGGGUGAAAUAUGACGUGUUCUGUCACUCCGGUAUAAUUAUAUUAUUACGACGUUAUAUAUUUAUGGUUUGCUAUUAUUUUUAUUAUUAUAUUUUUUUUUUUUUU